Molecule: ribosomal RNA, 1381 nt
Filed under: uncultured bacterium
Lineage: Bacteria
Description: bacterial SSU rRNA
Rfam family: Bacterial small subunit ribosomal RNA
Source: RNAcentral
CCUGGCUCAGGAUGAACGCUAGCUACAGGCUUAACACAUGCAAGUCGAGGGGCAGCAUGGUCUUAGCUUGCUAAGGCCGAUGGCGACCGGCGCACGGGUGAGUAACACGUAUCCAACCUGCCGUCUACUCUUGGACAGCCUUCUGAAAGGAAGAUUAAUACAAGAUGGCAUCAUGAGUCCGCAUGUUCACAUGAUUAAAGGUAUUCCGGUAGACGAUGGGGAUGCGUUCCAUUAGAUAGUAGGCGGGGUAACGGCCCACCUAGUCUUCGAUGGAUAGGGGUUCUGAGAGGAAGGUCCCCCACAUUGGAACUGAGACACGGUCCAAACUCCUACGGGAGGCAGCAGUGAGGAAUAUUGGUCAAUGGGCGAGAGCCUGAACCAGCCAAGUAGCGUGAAGGAUGACUGCCCUAUGGGUUGUAAACUUCUUUUAUAAAGGAAUAAAGUCGGGUAUGGAUACCCGUUUGCAUGUACUUUAUGAAUAAGGAUCGGCUAACUCCGUGCCAGCAGCCGCGGUAAUACGGAGGAUCCGAGCGUUAUCCGGAUUUAUUGGGUUUAAAGGGAGCGUAGAUGGAUGUUUAAGUCAGUUGUGAAAGUUUGCGGCUCAACCGUAAAAUUGCAGUUGAUACUGGAUAUCUUGAGUGCAGUUGAGGCAGGCGGAAUUCGUGGUGUAGCGGUGAAAUGCUUAGAUAUCACGAAGAACUCCGAUUGCGAAGGCAGCCUGCUAAGCUGCACUGACAUUGAGGCUCGAAAGUGUGGGUAUCAAACAGGAUUAGAUACCCUGGUAGUCCACACGGUAAACGAUGAAUACUCGCUGUUUGCGAUAUACUGCAAGCGGCCAAGCGAAAGCGUUAAGUAUUCCACCUGGGGAGUACGCCGGCAACGGUGAAACUCAAAGGAAUUGACGGGGGCCCGCACAAGCGGAGGAACAUGUGGUUUAAUUCGAUGAUACGCGAGGAACCUUACCCGGGCUUAAAUUGCAGAUGAAUUACGGUGAAAGCCGUAAGCCGCAAGGCAUCUGUGAAGGUGCUGCAUGGUUGUCGUCAGCUCGUGCCGUGAGGUGUCGGCUUAAGUGCCAUAACGAGCGCAACCCUUGUUGUCAGUUACUAACAGGUUCCGCUGAGGACUCUGACAAGACUGCCAUCGUAAGAUGUGAGGAAGGUGGGGAUGACGUCAAAUCAGCACGGCCCUUACGUCCGGGGCUACACACGUGUUACAAUGGGGGGUACAGAGGGCCGCUACCACGCGAGUGGAUGCCAAUCCCCAAAACCUCUCUCAGUUCGGACUGGAGUCUGCAACCCGACUCCACGAAGCUGGAUUCGCUAGUAAUCGCGCAUCAGCCACGGCGCGGUGAAUACGUUCCCGGGCCUUGUACACACCGCCC